Molecule: long non-coding RNA, 311 nt
Organism: Oncorhynchus nerka (sockeye salmon)
Lineage: Eukaryota; Metazoa; Chordata; Actinopteri; Salmoniformes; Salmonidae
Exons: 3
Source: RefSeq, a predicted model, not a curated record
ACCCCACACUGCAGGAGCACAACUUGGCCAACUAUCUCUUCUUUGUGAUGUAUCUCAUUAACAAAGAUGAAACAGAGCACACAGGCCAGGAGUCGUAUGUGUGGAAGAUGUACCAGGAACGGUGUUGGGAAUUCUUCCCUGCCGGAGACUGUUUCCGCAAACAAUACGAAGACCAGCUCAACUGAUUCAUGAAUCAACUGAUCAAUUCAACUGACUACUGAUCAGCUGAUCUAUUGAUCCAGAUGCAGAGACUCGUCCUUUCUUACUGAUCAAUGUGAAAGGGGCUGUUUCGUCACCUUCCUUCGUCAGCU